Molecule: ribosomal RNA, 350 nt
Filed under: uncultured diatom
Lineage: Eukaryota; Bacillariophyta
Description: SSU rRNA
Rfam family: Bacterial small subunit ribosomal RNA
Source: RNAcentral
GACGGAGGAUGCAAGUGUUAUCCGGAAUCACUGGGCGUAAAGCGUCUGUAGGUUGUUAAACAAGUCAACUGUUAAAUCUUGAGGCUCAACUUCAAAAUCGCAGUCGAAACUGUUUGACUAGAGUAUAGUAGGGGUAAAGGGAAUUUCCAGUGGAGCGGUGAAAUGCGUAGAUAUUGGAAAGAACACCGAUGGCGAAGGCACUUUACUGGGCUAUUACUGACACUCAGAGACGAAAGCUAGGGUAGCAAAUGGGAUUAGAUACCCCAGUAGUCCUAGCCGUAAACAAUGGAUACUAGAUGUUGAACAGAUCGACCUGUGCAGUAUCAAAGCUAACGCGUUAAGUAUCCCGC